AACGAACGCUGGCGGCAUGCCUAACACAUGCAAGUCGAACGAGACCUUCGGGUCUAGUGGCGCACGGGUGCGUAACGCGUGGGAAUCUGCCCUUCGGUUGGGAAUAACUGAGAGAAAUUUCAGCUAAUACCUUAUAAUGUCUUCGGACCAAAGAUUUAUCGCCGAGGGAUGAGCCCGCGUAGGAUUAGGUAGUUGGUGGGGUAAUGGCCUACCAAGCCGACGAUCCUUAGCUGGUCUGAGAGGAUGAUCAGCCACACUGGGACUGAGACACGGCCCAGACUCCUACGGGAGGCAGCAGUGGGGAAUAUCGGACAAUGGGCGAAAGCCUGAUCCAGCAAUGCCGCGUGAGUGAUGAAGGCCUUAGGGUUGUAAAGCUCUUUUACCCGGGAUGAUAAUGACAGUACCGGGAGAAUAAGCUCCGGCUAACUCCGUG
RNAcentral lists this ribosomal RNA (433 nucleotides) under uncultured bacterium. RNAcentral's name for it is "partial 16S ribosomal RNA". It matches the Rfam family "Bacterial small subunit ribosomal RNA", at positions 29 to 507 of the family's 1533-position model. The record is from RNAcentral.